RNAcentral lists this ribosomal RNA (253 nucleotides) under uncultured bacterium. Its description in RNAcentral is "partial 16S ribosomal RNA". It matches the Rfam family "Bacterial small subunit ribosomal RNA", at positions 524 to 776 of the family's 1533-position model. The record is from RNAcentral.
UACAGAGGGUGCAAGCGUUAAUCGGAUUUACUGGGCGUAAAGCGCGCGUAGGUGGCCAAUUAAGUCAAAUGUGAAAUCCCCGAGCUUAACUUGGGAAUUGCAUUCGAUACUGGUUGGCUAGAGUAUGGGAGAGGAUGGUAGAAUUGCAGGUGUAGCGGUGAAAUGCGUAGAGAUCUGGAGGAAUACCGAUGGCGAAGGCAGCCAUCUGGCCUAAUACUGACACUGAGGUGCGAAAGCAUGGGGAGCAAACAGG